Molecule: long non-coding RNA, 1694 nt
Organism: Anolis carolinensis (green anole)
Lineage: Eukaryota; Metazoa; Chordata; Lepidosauria; Squamata; Anolidae
Exons: 2
Source: RefSeq, a predicted model, not a curated record
GCUCCUAAGCGCUCUUUCUGUUUUAUAACUGUGUCAAGGCGCUGUGAUGUAACUCAGUGCUGCCGUUAGCCUUUGCACACUCACACAAAUGAGCUGGCAUGAAUCGGUCCCUCUCGCCUUCAUUCCCUGUUCUCCUUUUUAAAGGAAGAGAGGGGGGAAAGGGCAGUCAGAAAAGCAACCCCCCACCCAGCAUAAAAGCAAUGGAUUCUUAACUGAACGGGUCAGCUGCAAUGACAGACCUCAAACAGAUGAGCGAGCGCAGAGGAUGGAGGUGCAUACAAAUAGGCAAAGGCGCCAGCAGCAAGGAGCAGAAAGAAUGGCAGAGAGAUCAACCAUCAUUUUAAUACCCUUCAAUAUCUUCUGGAAGAAAACUGGUAUGCCUACAGCUGCAGAGAGGAAAGUGCCAAGAACAAAUCAACAUAACUGAUAGGAAGAAGCCAGCAUCAGGAGUUGAAUCCCACUUGGCAGAUAGCAGACAGCAUCAGAGACACCCAGAACAACUGCAGCUGUGGUGCCCAAGCUGGCUUGUGCCAGCACAUGUCUGAAUUCAUGUUUCACUCUGGCAACGCCAAAAGAUGUUGGACCUCUGCUUUCCACAGGUUAAAGUAUGCAUGCAAGUCCAUCCCAGCAUGUUCCGUGUGAUAUCAAAGCAGGGAGAGGGUGGCUACUGUCAUGUAGGCUGGUCCUUUGUUAAAAUCUGCACAUUUUCCAAACACAGAUUUCCUAGUCCAGGAUAUCAGAAACUGGCAUUGUACUGGGCAAAAUGUACAAAUAUAGGAAAAUGUGGUUUGAACCUAGGUGUAGGAAUAUAUAACAGAAAUGGAUGGCCAUCAGCAGUUCCUCUUCAAGGAAUGAGAUAUUUACUGUAUUUGACCUAGCAGACACCACUAGAUGGUAGCAAAGUGCCUCAGCCAUACAAACAAAUUGGAUUAGAAACUUCACUAAAGGAAGUUAUUGGAAUUUAUUCACAACCUGGGUAUUUCUCAAAGUUGUUUCUGUGCGCAUCCAUUCUGAGGUGCAUUUAUCUCUUUAUCUUGCAUUUAUCAUGCCUUUUCCUCACAAGAUUAAAAACCAGAACACAUGAAGACUCAAAAGGUGUCCUGCUAAAGCAAAAUUGAACAAGUUCUUACAUUAGAAUAUUAUGGACUUAAAAAGUCAAUUGAAAUGCUUACUUUAGGAACAGCACCAAUUUAUUAAAAGCCUCUUAUGUUCAGUAGCCAGGCAAUUCUUGAAAGCCUGUCUGAAUAAAAAGACUUUGCCUACCUGCAGAAAUGCAACAAGGAGGAGGGCUGGUUGUGCAAGAAAUAAUUGUAAUUCAAGAACACAACUUUACUUGUUGUUAUUGUUGUACAGCUUUGAGUCAAUUCCAACAUAUGAUAGCCCUAAGACAGCUGUAUCAUAGGGGUUUUCUGGGGCUGAGAGUGCAUGAUUUAUCCAAGAUCACCCAGUGGAUUUCCAUGGCCAGGUGGGGAAUUGAACUCUAGUUUCCAGAGUUGUAAUCCACCAUUCAGAUCUCUAUACCACACAGUGUACUUUAGACACAAAGUAAAUUAAUUUGACAAAGAGCAAACAAUGGUGUCUCAAGGUGGAAGCAGCCCCUCGUGGAACAUGCUGUACACAACUUUGAGGCUCACCAUGGGAGAAAAGCAGGAUGGAAAUAAACAAACAAACAAAUAAAUAAUGUAAAAUAAUCA